Saccostrea cuccullata (small rock oyster) is the source of this 236-nucleotide long non-coding RNA. RefSeq lists it as uncharacterized. The transcript has 3 exons. Lineage: Eukaryota; Metazoa; Mollusca; Bivalvia; Ostreida; Ostreidae. The record is from RefSeq and is a predicted model, not a curated record.
GGAACCAACCACAGUAGACAUAGCACGCUUCAUCAAAGAUGCACCAGAUGCAGCGGCACUGUCUCCAUCAUUGGUGAAAUGGGAUAUGAUUAGUGGACGGUCAUCACUUAGUAACUCACCAACACAAUUAGUGGCCCAUCUCUUCUCAUCUCCAAUGGUGGUCUCAGGAGGAAUGGUUGCAGUGCAGUCUUCAUGUCCUGGACAGGUCUGUUGCAUGUUGGCGGCUGAUGCUGGUU